Molecule: transfer RNA, 73 nt
Filed under: Fundicoccus ignavus
Lineage: Bacteria; Bacillati; Bacillota; Bacilli; Lactobacillales; Aerococcaceae
Also listed under: 2 other names
Rfam family: tRNA
About the family: Transfer RNA (tRNA) molecules are approximately 80 nucleotides in length. Their secondary structure includes four short double-helical elements and three loops (D, anti-codon, and T loops). Further hydrogen bonds mediate the characteristic L-shaped molecular structure. tRNAs have two regions of fundamental functional importance: the anti-codon, which is responsible for specific mRNA codon recognition, and the 3' end, to which the tRNAs corresponding amino acid is attached (by aminoacyl-tRNA synthetases). tRNAs cope with the degeneracy of the genetic code in two manners: having more than one tRNA (with a specific anti-codon) for a particular amino acid; and 'wobble' base-pairing, i.e. permitting non-standard base-pairing at the 3rd anti-codon position.
Source: Rfam by way of RNAcentral
UCCGCAAUAGCUCAGUUGGUAGAGCGCAUGACUGUUAAUCAUGAUGUCGUAGGUUCGAGCCCUACUUGCGGAG